RNAcentral lists this microRNA precursor (96 nucleotides) under Marmota monax (woodchuck). The record is from RNAcentral. Lineage: Eukaryota; Metazoa; Chordata; Mammalia; Rodentia; Sciuridae.
ACAAGAAUUGCUGGGUUAAUUCAUUGGUCAAUUAUUUAUAAAAACUGCCAGGCUGUUUUUAAAAAUGGUUGUACAUUUUAUACUCUCACUGGCAAU